Molecule: long non-coding RNA, 332 nt
Filed under: Nicotiana benthamiana
Lineage: Eukaryota; Viridiplantae; Streptophyta; Magnoliopsida; Solanales; Solanaceae
Description: long non-coding RNA (NBEN_LNC033235)
Source: RNAcentral
GCGACGAUUUUUUGCCUUGAUCGUCUUCCUUGACGUAAAUUCUUGAUUUGGUUGUUGGCACUUGUGACUUCUUGUUGUUCGCCUUUUGUAGUUGAAAAGAAGAGAAUUUAGAAACAUUGAUUGAUGAAUUAUGAGAAGAUAUGUGAUGUUUAUUGGUUGUUCCUCCCAAAUUGAUGGCUGCAAGAGAAAAAGACGAUAGUGUGAUGAUAUUCACAACUAUUUCCAUGGAUUUUUCACAUAGAGAUUUCUUUUCUUGAAUCCUGCUCUUUUGAGUCAUGAUUAAGCAAUAAAUUUCGCUCAAUAAUAAAAUACAAGGAAUUAGUUGUGUGUUU